Molecule: ribosomal RNA, 253 nt
Filed under: uncultured bacterium
Lineage: Bacteria
Description: partial 16S ribosomal RNA
Rfam family: Bacterial small subunit ribosomal RNA
Source: RNAcentral
UACGAAGGGGGCUAGCGUUGUUCGGAUUUACUGGGCGUAAAGCGCACGUAGGCGGAUCUUUAAGUCAGAGGUGAAAUCCCAAGGCUCAACCUUGGAACUGCCUUUGAUACUGGGGAUCUUGAGUCCGGGAGAGGUGAGUGGAACUGCGAGUGUAGAGGCGAAAUUCGUAGAUAUCGGGAGGAACACCAGUGGCGAAGGCGACUACCUGGCCUGUUCUUGACGCUGAGGCGCGAAAGCUAGGGGAGCAAACGGG